GAUGAAGAACGCAGCGAAAUGCGAUAAGUAAUGUGAAUUGCAGAAUUCAGUGAAUCAUCGAAUCUUUGAACGCACAUUGCGCCCGCCAGUAUUCUGGCGGGCAUGCCUGUUCGAGCGUCAUUUCAACCAUCAAGCCCCAGGCUUGUGUUGGGGACCUGCGGCUGCCGCAGGCCCUGAAAACCAGUGGCGGGCUCGCUGUCACACCGGGCGUAGUAGAUUUUAUCUCGCUCAGGGCGUGCUGCGGGUUCCGGCCGUUAAAAAGCCUUUUUUACCCAAGGUUGACCUCAGAUCAGGUGGGACUACCCGCUGAACUUAAGCAUAUCAAUAAGCGGAGGA
Molecule: unclassified non-coding RNA, 336 nt
Filed under: soil metagenome
Description: partial contains 5.8S ribosomal RNA, internal transcribed spacer 2, and large subunit ribosomal RNA
Rfam family: 5.8S ribosomal RNA (bases 1-120)
Source: RNAcentral